This 720-nucleotide ribosomal RNA is filed under the name uncultured bacterium. RNAcentral's name for it is "bacterial SSU rRNA". It matches the Rfam family "Bacterial small subunit ribosomal RNA", at positions 411 to 1127 of the family's 1533-position model. The record is from RNAcentral.
AAGGCCUUCGGGUUGUAAAGUUCUSYCWCAUGGGCCUAAUCCCUCAGGAUUAAUACUCCUUGAGGUUKAAGUCCCAUGAGAGGAAGCACCGGCUAAAUUCGUGCCAGCAGCCGCGGUAAUACGAAUGGUGCAAGCGUUGUUCGGAAUCACUGGGCAUAAAGCGCGCGUAGGCGGUGGCAUAAGUUAGUUGUGAAAUCCCCCGGCUCAACCGAGGAACUGCAACUAAAACUGUGCCGCUCGAGUGUGGGAGGGGAGAACGGAAUUCCUGGUGGAGCGGUGAAAUGCGUAGAUAUCAGGAGGAACGCCGGAGGCGAAAGCGGUUCUCUGGCCCACUACUGACGCUGAGGUGCGAAAGCUAGGGGAGCAAAYAGGAUUAGAUACCCUGGUAGUCCUAGCCGUAAACGAUGAGAACUAGAUGUCGGGAGGAUCUACCUUUCGGUGUCGCAGCUAACGCGUUAAGUUCUCCGCCUGGGGAGUACGCCGGCAACGGUAAAACUCAAAGGAAUUGACGGGGACCCGCACAAGCGGUGGAGCAUGUGGUUUAAUUCGACGCAACGCGAAGAACCUUACCUGCCCUUGACAUUGACAGAAUCCUGUAGAGAUACGGGAGUGCUUCGGCCUGGAAAACAGGUGCUGCAUGGCUGUCGUCAGCUCGUGUCGUGAGAUGUUGGGUUAAGUCCCGCAACGAGCGCAACCCUUGUCCUUAGUUGCCAGCACAUC